RNAcentral lists this non-coding RNA (148 nucleotides) under Homo sapiens (human). Lineage: Eukaryota; Metazoa; Chordata; Mammalia; Primates; Hominidae. The record is from Rfam by way of RNAcentral.
GCUGGGCAUAGUGGCAUAUGCCUGUAGUCCCAGCUACUAAGGAGGCUGAGAUGGGAGGAUUGUUUGAACCCAGGAGGUCGAGGCAACAGUGAGCCAUGAUCACGCCACUGUACUCCAGCCUGGGUGACAGAGCAAGACCUCGUCUCAA